Odocoileus virginianus texanus is the source of this 1538-nucleotide non-coding RNA. NCBI's taxonomy places the organism in Eukaryota, Metazoa, Chordata, Mammalia, Artiodactyla, Cervidae. The record is from RefSeq and is a predicted model, not a curated record.
UGUGCCCCCUGCAUUGGCAGGCAGAUUCUUAACUACUAACUAUAGUUUGGUAGAACUUAGAAAUGUUUCUGAAGGCUAGACAGUCUGGGCCCUAAUCUGCACUGUGAUUAAAAUUCAGCCACACGCCUCUUGCUGGGAAACGCUGCGGUGGAGCCAUCAGCGCCCGCCACGCAGCUGCCUCCUGCUCUUCAAACGGGGCCCUGUGAGCACAAGGUCCUUGCGUCAGCUUCCUGGGCUUUGUGAGCCCUUCAGAUCGUAGGCAGACAUCUGAGUGUCUGUGCUCUGGACAUUUUUCUGGAGAGAAGCUCACAGCUUUAAUCGAUUUACAAAGAGCUGCAGGAUGUGAAAGGUUGAGAGUCGUUGGCUAAAAGCAUCAGGAAUCCGGACUCCAGAGAAAUCAGAUCUUCGCAACCAGUUGCUAAGCGUCUUUGCAGCAUUUACAGACAGAGAGGGGUUGGGCUCCUGUUCCCUGGGUUUAUGCGUGUAUUUUUUUUCAAUGUGAAAGAGCUUCUAAGCUGCAGGAUCUAAGUUCCUCCAGGUCGAAGAAACAAAGGCCCAGAGACAAAACUCACCAAACCCACAGAGCCAGCAGCCCCAGUGGAGAUCCCACUGAAGCACAGUGGGGUCCGAGCCAGCCCCUUGAAUGGAUGGAGACAGAGCCCCUCAGCAGACAGAAGAGGAGGAUAGCUCUGAGCCCUGAGGCCAGUGCCCUCUGCAGUUUCCCAGGGACUGGAGCUCCAUGCCUGCUAGAUACAGAGGGCUAACAUGGAUCCUGGGUGGGCUUGAUCAGCACGCAGACUGAGCCUCCUUUAGCCCGUUUCCCUGCCCUUUUGCACAGGCACUGAAGACAAGUUAUAGGACAUGAAGACAAGUUACAGGACAUGAGAAGAAACCCCAGCUGGCCUCCCCAUCAGCAGGUGAGCAGGUGGAGGCAUCCUGACCAGAUGCCAGAGCAGUUUAAGAUGUCACUUCAUCCGGAGGGCAGAGGACAAGCAGGAGACCAACAGAGGCCCAGAUGGUCCAAGGAGCACUGAGUGAGGACCAGACCAGAGCUCCAGCCCAUGCGCCUGGGACCUGAAGCAGUUUCCUCAUCCGCACUGCAGCUGAAAUGACCCCUGACUGUCCGGGUUAAGGACGGCGGCAGCACUUCUCCCUGGAACGCUGUGUUGAGAAGGAUUCUGAGGCUGUGGUUAAUUCGUGAUGUCUGUCGGGGAGAACCAGAGAUUGCUUAUCAAUGUCUUGUUACUUCUCUACCAUCCUGAUGAAGAGCAACAGACAGGGGUCGUUUGUCAGGGCUCUUCCAGAUCCCAAAUUCUACCAGUCUAUGAUUUCGAAGUUAAAAUUUCCAGGCACUGGCUGGAAGCACCGGAAGUUAGAGGAGGAAGCGAUGAGGAGGAGGCCAGCAUCACUGGAACACGCUGUCUCUGUCUGGGACAAACGGGAUCAGACGUGUGAGGUCGUAGUGGUGCCUGAAAACCAGAACUGACUCCGUGGGAAGCCGCAGAACCAGAUGCUCUGGCACCAUUAUUCCAGGGGCC